This 253-nucleotide ribosomal RNA is filed under the name uncultured bacterium. Its description in RNAcentral is "partial 16S ribosomal RNA". It matches the Rfam family "Bacterial small subunit ribosomal RNA", at positions 524 to 776 of the family's 1533-position model. The record is from RNAcentral.
UACAGAGGUCUCGAGCGUUAGGCGGAAUCACUGGGCUUAAAGCGUGUGUAGGCGGAUCGGUAAGUACCUUGUGAAAUCCCACAGCUUAAUUGUGGAACUGCUUGGUAUACUGCCAGUCUUGAGCCACUUAGGGGCUACCGGAACAAAUGGUGGAGCGGUGAAAUGCGUAGAUAUCAUUUGGAACGCCAAUGGUGAAAACAGGUAGCUGGGAGUGUGCUGACGCUGAGACACGAAAGCCAGGGGAGCAAACGGG